Molecule: ribosomal RNA, 450 nt
Filed under: uncultured bacterium
Lineage: Bacteria
Description: bacterial SSU rRNA
Rfam family: Bacterial small subunit ribosomal RNA
Source: RNAcentral
GUGGGGAAUAUUGGACAAUGGGCGAAAGCCUGAUCCAGCCAUGCCGCGUGUGUGAAGAAGGUCUUCGGAUUGUAAAGCACUUUAAGUUGGGAGGAAGGGCAGUAAGUUAAUACCUUGCUGUUUUGACGUUACCGACAGAAUAAGCACCGGCUAACUUCGUGCCAGCAGCCGCGGUAAUACGAAGGGUGCAAGCGUUAAUCGGAAUUACUGGGCGUAAAGCGCGCGUAGGUGGUUUUGUAAGUUGGAGGUGAAAUCCCCGGGCUCAACCUGGGAACUGCCUCCAAAACUGCAUGACUAUAGUACGGUAGAGGGUAGUGGAAUUUCCUGUGUAGCGGUGAAAUGCGUAGAUAUAGGAAGGAACACCAGUGGCGAAGGCGACUACCUGGACUGAUACUGACACUGAGGUGCGAAAGCGUGGGGAGCAAACAGGAUUAGAUACCCGAGUAGUCC